AUUGAACGCUGGCGGCGUGCCUAACACAUGCAAGUCGAGCGGUAACAGGUGUAGCAAUACAUGCUGACGAGCGGCGGACGGGUGAGUAACGCUUGGGAAUCUGCCUAUUAGUGGGGGACAACCCGGGGAAACUCGGGCUAAUACCGCAUACGCUCUACGGAGGAAAGCCGGGGACCGCAAGGCCUGGCGCUAAUAGAUGAGCCCAAGUCGGAUUAGCUAGUUGGUAGGGUAANGGCCUACCAAGGCGACGAUCCGUAACUGGUCUGAGAGGACGACCAGUCACACCGGAACUGAGACACGGUCCGGACUCCUACGGGAGGCAGCAGUGGGGAAUAUUGGACAAUGGGCGAAAGCCUGAUCCAGCGACGCCGCGUGGGUGAAGAAGGCCUGCGGGUUGUAAA
This 401-nucleotide ribosomal RNA is filed under the name uncultured bacterium. Its description in RNAcentral is "bacterial SSU rRNA". It matches the Rfam family "Bacterial small subunit ribosomal RNA", at positions 29 to 429 of the family's 1533-position model. The record is from RNAcentral.